This 669-nucleotide small RNA is filed under the name Pan troglodytes (chimpanzee). Its description in RNAcentral is "retained intron". The record is from RNAcentral. Lineage: Eukaryota; Metazoa; Chordata; Mammalia; Primates; Hominidae.
GCAGCCAUUGGGACAUGCUCUGGUGGCAUAGUGCAAAGAAUAUCUGCUCCCAGGCAGGGCGCGGUGGCUCACACCUGUAAUCCCAGCACUUUGGGAGGCUGAGGCAGGUUAUUCACCUGAAGUCAGGAGUUCUAGACCAGCCUGACCAACAUGGCAAAACCCUGUCUCUACUAAAAAUGUAAAAAUUAGCCAGGCAUGGUGGCAUGCGCCUGUAAUCCCAGGUACUCAGGAGGCCGAGGCAGGAGAAUCACUUGAACCUAGGAGGCAGAGGUUGCAGUGAGCCAAGAUUGUGCCACUGCACUCCAGCCUGGGCAACAGAGCAAGACUCUGUCUCAAAAAAAGAAGAAAGAAUAUAUGGAAAAUACAGAAGAUUGAUUUGACUUUGUCAUGUCAUUUCUCUUAGUUCCUGCGACCUGAAGUACACAGAAGGAGUACAGUCCCUCAACUGGACUAAAAUCAUGAAGACCAUUGUUGAUGACCCUGAGGGCUUCUUCGAACAAGGUGGCUGGUCUUUCCUGGAGCCUGAGGGUGAGGGGAGUGAUGCUGAAGAAGGGGAUUCAGAGUCUGAAAUUGAAGAUGAGACUUUUAAUCCUUCGGAAGAUGACUAUGAAGAGGAAGAGGAGGACAGUGAUGAAGAUUAUUCAUCAGAAGCAGAAGAGUCAGACUAUU